RNAcentral lists this ribosomal RNA (459 nucleotides) under uncultured bacterium. RNAcentral's name for it is "bacterial SSU rRNA". It matches the Rfam family "Bacterial small subunit ribosomal RNA", at positions 923 to 1379 of the family's 1533-position model. The record is from RNAcentral.
GCACAAGCGGUGGAGCAUGUGGUUUAAUUCGACGCAACGCGCAGAACCUUACCAGCCCUUGACAUCCCGGUCGCGGACUCCAGAGAUGGAGUUCUUCAGUUCGGCUGGACCGGAGACAGGUGCUGCAUGGCUGUCGUCAGCUCGUGUCGUGAGAUGUUGGGUUAAGUCCCGCAACGAGCGCAACCCCCGUCCUUAGUUGCUACCAUUUAGUUGAGCACUCUAAGGAGACUGCCGGUGAUAAGCCGCGAGGAAGGUGGGGAUGACGUCAAGUCCUCAUGGCCCUUACGGGCUGGGCUACACACGUGCUACAAUGGCGGUGACAAUGGGACGCUAAGGGGCAACCCUUCGCAAAUCUCAAAAAGCCGUCUCAGUUCGGAUUGGGCUCUGCAACUCGAGCCCAUGAAGUUGGAAUCGCUAGUAAUCGUGGAUCAGCAUGCCACGGUGAAUACGUUCCCGGGC